Mesocricetus auratus (golden hamster) is the source of this 1070-nucleotide long non-coding RNA. RefSeq lists it as uncharacterized. The record is from RefSeq and is a predicted model, not a curated record. Lineage: Eukaryota; Metazoa; Chordata; Mammalia; Rodentia; Cricetidae. The transcript is spliced from 3 exons.
GAAAGUAAAAGCGGAUCAAGCCAAAACCUCAAUCUUUAUGGAUUUUACUCCAGAACAUAUUCAUCAGCCUGUUCAGCUUGCUGUCCUCAAACAGCUGACUGGAUGUCUGCUUCUUUGGGAAAUUGAACUCAGGGCUCUGCAGAGAAGCAGAACUAACGUAACAGAGCGAUGAGGGGAAGGGGUGUUGUGCAAUUAACUGAGCUGCCAAUGCCUCCCUGCUAUGGGCAAGCUGGAUGCCCUGGAGUGUUAACUUGCUGUUCUGGUCAGAGUCAGCCUACACCCCUUAGGAAGGGGAUAAUCCCCACCCACGUUGGGGAGAAAAACCUGCUGGACCCCUUCUAGGAAUUCAAAUGCUAAUCUCAUCCACAAACAUCCACAGAAGAACAUCUGAGGAAGACUUGACCAAAGAGCUGAGUCCCUGUGGUCUAGUGAAACCUCUGAAACCAGCCAUCAACAAACUCAAGCAUCAAUGUCCAUCUUCACCACAACCCUGGGAUUCUGGUACACAAGAAUGUCUCCACUUCAUAAGGAAGUUUCUUUUUGCCAAGGGUAAACACACUCUGAGCAGAGACGUCAGACAGGCUCUGUGGACAGCCAGGGCGCUGUGGUGACCUCACCAGGGGAAGCCUCAUCUGAAACAAUGGGAGCCUAAGAGUACAAGCUUACAUGACCAGCCAGGAACUGAAACUUCCUUCUGAGUUUGAGACUACAGGUGACUAGAGAGGGCAUAUGUUCUCAAAAUCUCAAGUAUGGUCAUAUGCAGAACAAAUGUUACAGCUGUCUGUGUGCCCUAAGCUUACACACUUAGGAAGCCACAUAGCACACAGCCAUAGCUUAAUGCCUGGCUUUCUUACUCUUAGAAUUUCACUUUGGGUUUAGCCAACACACAUCUGAGACACAAGCGCUGAAUAACUAUGUUGCCCAGCAUUGUUCUGGAAGCUAGAAAUCCAAAAUCUGGGUUUCUGCAGGGGUCUUAUUCCCCUUUGGAAGAAUAUUGUCCUUCAUUGUCUUCCUGCUAUUGUUUGCCAACAGUGUUUGUUGUUUUCUGGCAAUAAAUUCAUUAGUUCCAA